RNAcentral lists this long non-coding RNA (1125 nucleotides) under Equus asinus (donkey). RNAcentral describes it as "lncRNA (ENSEASG00005029152.1)". The record is from RNAcentral. Lineage: Eukaryota; Metazoa; Chordata; Mammalia; Perissodactyla; Equidae.
AAACUUCUUCCUACUCACCUGUUAGGGUCGACCGUCACCUCCUCUGUGAAUCCCACCACCGCUCUCCUCACUACGCCCAGAGGCAGUCCCUUCCCUCUUUGGACUCCCACGGCCCUUCUUCAUAGCUCUGUCUGGACAUUGACUCCUUUUGCCGCCGAGAGACUGAUAAACAUGACAGUGGGGAUUUGAUCUCAUUCAUUUUCACUUUCAUUUUGCAGGCCUUGCAGGACUUCUCCAGCUCACGGUGGCACAUGUUUGAUGGGUGGAUGAAUUGUUCACUAGACCUCAUGGACUUGGAAUCCAUUCCCCACCUCUCCUCUGGUUGUGUCGCCCACAAGAGCGGUCCCAGCCAUUCUGGCUCCCUUCACCCGGCUUUCUGAGUGAACACAAACAAUGGAGCUUACCCAAGAAGAAUGUUGAAAGUUGCCCUUGGUUGUUUCACCCAAGUUCAUCCGGCUGUUGAGAAGUGGCAGAGGAAAUAUGUCAGCCAGUGGUGUUGACAAAUGUUGGUUUACGGAGAGUUCGGCCAAGUUCAGAGGAUAUUUGACACGCAUGGCUCGCCACCCGCUUCUCAGGACCGGGAAAAAGGAACCACAAAUAUCUCAUCAUGUCCCUAUGCCUUGGUCUCCUCAUCUGUAAAAGAGAGUGACAAAGAACUAGCUCACCAUGUUUGAGGAUGCAGCAAGCUGGUAGAUUGGCCUUUGGGUUUCCGUGUUUCAGGACUCUUUGGGCCACAGGAUUGAAAGCAGGAGUUCUUCAAGAUCGUUCUCUCUCCCUUUCUGGCCUGGCAUUAGAGAAGAUUGUGCUAAUGGAGGAAGGAGGCAGCCGGGGGAGGCUGGGGAGCAGAAGGUGAGAGAAGGGGAGGGGGCAGAAAGCAGGCUGGAGAGGUUCUCUCAGACCUGAACUGUCCAGGUCCUUACUCCCUUCCCUCCCAGGGCCCCAGGGAGGAGGCAGAGCUUCCCUGGACCCAUGGACCCCCAUCUUCUGCAGAGGCCACGGCCCAGGAACAGGUGAGCGGCUGGCCUGUCAGGACCUUGGGCUGUGAGAACAUCAAUACCCAGAGGCCCUUCCAUGACCCCCAGGUGGGUAGUGCCACUGUGCUUCCAGGAUGAGCCUCGCUCACUU